This 492-nucleotide ribosomal RNA is filed under the name uncultured bacterium. RNAcentral's name for it is "partial 16S ribosomal RNA". It matches the Rfam family "Bacterial small subunit ribosomal RNA", at positions 29 to 507 of the family's 1533-position model. The record is from RNAcentral.
AGUGAACGCUGGCGGUAGGCCUAACACAUGCAAGUCGAACGGCAGCACAGUAAGAGCUUGCUCGUACGGGUGGCGAGUGGCGGACGGGAGAGAAAUACAUCGGUAUCUACUUUUUCGUGGGGGAUAACGUAGGGAAACUUACGCCAAUACCGCUUACGACCUAAGGGUGAAAGCAGGGGAUCUUCGGACCUUGCGCGAUUGACUGAGCCGAUGUCGGAUUAGCUAGUUGGCGGGGUAAAGGCCCACCAAGGCGACGAUCCGUAGCUGGUCUGAGAGGAUGAUCAGCCACACUGGAACUGAGACACGGUCCAGACUCCUACGGGAGGCAGCAGUGGGGAAUAUUGGACAAUGGGCGCAAGCCUGAUCCAGCCAUACCGCGUGGGUGAAGAAGGCCUUCGGGUUGUAAAGCCCUUUUGUUGGGAAAGAAAAGCAGCAGGUUAAUACCCCGCUGUUCUGACGGUACCCAAAGAAUAAGCACCGGCUAACUUCGUG